AUUGAACGCUGGCGGCAUGCCUAACACAUGCAAGUCGAACGGUAACAGGCCCUUCGGGGUGCUGACGAGUGGCGGAUGGGUGAGUAAUACUUAGGAAUCUACCCUGUAGUGGGGACGAACCCGGGAAACGUCGGCGUAAUACCGCAUACGCUCUACGGAGGAAAGACGGGGCCGGCAAGGCCUCGCGCUAUUGGAUGAGCCUAAGCCCGAUUAGCUAGUUGGUGGGGUAAUAGCCUACCAAGGCAAUGAUCGGUAGCUGGUCUGAGAGGACGACCAGCCACACUGGGACUGAGACACGGCCCAGACUCCUACGGGAGGCAGCAGUGGGGAAUAUUGGACAAUGGG
This 345-nucleotide ribosomal RNA is filed under the name uncultured bacterium. RNAcentral describes it as "bacterial SSU rRNA". It matches the Rfam family "Bacterial small subunit ribosomal RNA", at positions 30 to 375 of the family's 1533-position model. The record is from RNAcentral.